GGUGGUGCAGUGAUUAUAAAACAUUCCUCGUACUGAUGGGUAAUCCCCUAAGAACGACACCUAUACACCCAUAGAAUCUGAGCACCA
This is a small nucleolar RNA of Lolium rigidum, 87 nucleotides long. RefSeq annotates it as small nucleolar RNA snoR8a. NCBI's taxonomy places the organism in Eukaryota, Viridiplantae, Streptophyta, Magnoliopsida, Poales, Poaceae. The record is from RefSeq and is a predicted model, not a curated record. The transcript has a single exon.